GGUGGUGGCAUACUUAACUUGUG
Molecule: non-coding RNA, 23 nt
Filed under: Arabidopsis thaliana (thale cress)
Lineage: Eukaryota; Viridiplantae; Streptophyta; Magnoliopsida; Brassicales; Brassicaceae
Source: RNAcentral